RNAcentral lists this ribosomal RNA (445 nucleotides) under uncultured bacterium. RNAcentral's name for it is "partial 16S ribosomal RNA". It matches the Rfam family "Bacterial small subunit ribosomal RNA", at positions 354 to 796 of the family's 1533-position model. The record is from RNAcentral.
GUGAGGAAUAUUGGUCAAUGGGCGAGAGCCUGAACCAGCCAAGUAGCGUGAAGGAUGAAGGUCCUACGGAUUGUAAACUUCUUUUAUACGGGAAUAAAGUUUCCUACGUGUAGGAUUUUGUAUGUACCGUAUGAAUAAGCAUCGGCUAACUCCGUGCCAGCAGCCGCGGUAAUACGGAGGAUGCGAGCGUUAUCCGGAUUUAUUGGGUUUAAAGGGAGCGCAGACGGGAGAUUAAGUCAGUUGUGAAAGUUUGCGGCUCAACCGUAAAAUUGCAGUUGAUACUGGUUUCCUUGAGUGCAGUUGAGGCAGGCGGAAUUCGUGGUGUAGCGGUGAAAUGCUUAGAUAUCACGAAGAACUCCGAUUGCGAAGGCAGCACACUAAUCCGUAACUGACGUUCAUGCUCGAAAGUGUGGGUAUCAAACAGGAUUAGAAACCCGGGUAGUCC